This is an RNA transcript of Cynara cardunculus var. scolymus (artichoke), 3424 nucleotides long. It is a transcript of the gene named flowering time control protein FPA-like, with no coding region annotated. Lineage: Eukaryota; Viridiplantae; Streptophyta; Magnoliopsida; Asterales; Asteraceae. The record is from RefSeq and is a predicted model, not a curated record. The transcript is spliced from 7 exons.
UUGAGCAAAAUUUUGGUUUGGGUUUCGCCUCUUCCUUCCAUCCUUCUUCCCCGUACUCUGAAAUCUAAAUCUGUUGUUCGAAAAUUCAACAUAUAUUCUUUGAUUUUGUUAACAAAUGGGGCCUCCUAUGAAAUCCAAUAGGCAGGGUUUCGGUACUGCUAAUGUUACUGGGAAGCAAAACCUAUUCGAUUCAUCGUCGGAUGCGAUGUUUAACAAUUUAUGGGUCGGGAAUUUGUCCGCUGACGUUACAGAUUCAGAUUUGAGGAUUCUCUUUGAGAAACAUGGUGCCGUUGAUAGCGUAACUUGUUAUCCGUCAAGAAGCUAUGCCUUUGUCAACAUGAACCGUACCGAGGAUGCCAAGAAGGCUAAAGAGUCCCUUCAGGGCGUUGUUUUACGUGGGAGCCCGCUAAAGAUUGAUUUUGCCAAACCGGCUAAACCCUGCAAGAGUCUGUGGGUAAGCGGCAUCAGCAUUACCACAUCCAAAGAAGAUUUGGAAGCAGAAUUUUCCAAAUUUGGUACAAUUGAGGAUUUCAAAUUUCUAAGGGAUAAGAAUACUGCAUACAUUGAUUAUUCCAGACUAGAGGAUGCAUCGAAGGCUCUUAAAAUGAUGAAUGGAAAAAAAAGAGGUGGAAGUUUGAUUCGUGUAGACUAUUUAAGAUCCCAAUCAAAAAGAGACCAGGGUCCUGAUUUCCGUGACGCGAAGGAAGGACAACAUUUCAGAAGUGUGGUUCCACUUGAUUCACCUUGGUUACCACCAGAUACUGUUAACAAUUACUCUGAUCCUUCGUACUUUGGUACCCAAAGGCAACAGCAUAAUCUGCCGUUAGAAGGUCGAAAAGGGGAUGGAGAGCAACCAAGUAAUGUUUUGGUUAUAUCUUAUCCUCCUGUUGUUCAUAUUGAUGAACAGAUGUUACACAAUGCCAUGAUUUUAUUCGGUGAGAUUGACAAUAUCAGAAGUUUUCCUUCAAGACAUUAUUCACUCGUGGAGUUUAGAAGCGUGGAAGAGGCACAACUUGCCAAGGAUGGGCUGCAAGGCCGUCUUUUUAACGAUCCCAGAAUUUCUAUUAUGUUUUCAUCCAGCGAGCAUGCACCAACCAAAGAUCUUACCGGAUUUCAUCCUGGAGUAAAUGGACCAAGGCCUCAUACAAUCUUUAAUGAACUCCCAACCCAAGCACCACAAUUAGAUGUUUACAGUCACCCUGUUUUAGUGCCAAAUAGUUUGCAUGGACGUGCACCCCCUUAUGGUGGACCUGAUAUUUCUAUUAGGCCUUUUGCUCCUCCAGAUAGCUUUGAUCCUCUACACCAAGGUCCAGAGUUUAAUGUGCCUGGCCCUAAUCCCAUCAACCCAAUGGGUGUUCCAAAUUGGAGAAGAUCUUCACCAACCCCUGGAAUGCUUUCUUCUUCUUCAUCAGGUGUAAAUCCACCCACCAGACCUUCUCCUGGGACAUGGGAUGUUUUUGAUGCAAGCCAAUUGCAUAGGGAACCCAAAAGACUGAGAACUGAUGGUAAUAUACCCAUAAGAGAUAUGAAAGAUCAGGUGUUGGGCACUGAUCCUGUGUACAGCAGCGUUCCACAAGUUAAGGGUGUCGGUCGGUUAGACACAAGAUUAACAACUCGAGGUACCGAUGUGGGCCAUCCCAAUUCUGACUAUAUUUGGCGAGGUGUUAUUGCGAAGGGAGGAACUCCUGUAUGUCAUGCUCGUUGUGUUCCUAUCAGAGACUGGAUUGGAUAUGAGAUCCCUGAAGUUGUUAAUUGCUCAGCUAGAACAGGAUUGGAUAUGCUGGCAAAACACUACAUUGAUGCUGUUGGUUUCGAUAUCGUAUUCUUCUUACCCGAUAGUGAAGAAGAUUUUGCUUCAUAUACAGAAUUCGUACGUUAUUUGGGUGACAGAAACCGCGCUGGGGUUGCUAAAUUUGACGAUGGAACCACCUUAUUCUUGGUCCCACCUUCUGAAUUUCUUUCAAAAGUUUUGAACGUUUCUGGGCCGGAGCGUCUAUAUGGAGUCGUUCUGAAGUUCCCACAACAUGCCUCUGGCAGCACAUCUGCUGGUCCUUUAUCAAACCAACCUCAAUAUAUCGAUAAGCAGCAGGUUCCUUCUCAAAAUGAAUACAAUCUUAUGCCCAGUGGGGAGAAGGUGCUGCAAAUCGAUUAUACCGGUGCUCCACAUGACGACUCAAAAUCACUCCCGAAGUCGCCAGCUCCUCCAUCUCGUAAUCCAUUGACUCCCCCACCAAUGUCUACAUCUAUGCCCCAAACUGGGCUUUCUUUAACACCGGAACUUAUUGCAACUCUGGCUUCUUUGGCCAAGGGUAAGUUUAAUAACCAGCAACCAUCAGCCACACCACCCGUGGGGUCCGUAUUGACCUCUGCAGCACCUAAUGAGAGACCGAUUAGGGGAUGGGAAUACGAACCUGAACCAUCCAACUUAAGUGGACAUUUCUCGCAAGCUGAAAAUUCAUUUUAUCCUCAGCCACAAAUCCCACCUCAGCAUCAGGGUUAUCAGUCAAACAUGGUCAAUGAUCAUCAUUCGGCCGCUUCCGGCAACUAUCCGGUUCAAGAUCUUGCUUUUAGUUUCCCACAACGUGAACCCGUGCCAUCUAUGAUGAAUUCAACAUCUCAAACUCCACAAAGUGGUCAUUUUGUGGGUCAAAUGCAGGCCAACAAUCAGCAAUACCUACCCAACUUCGCACAAGACACUCACGCCGGCUACGCAUUUGAACAAAAGACAGAUGUGCCCUCGGUUUUACCGCCUGGAAAUAAUCUGGCUUUAAGUCAGGUUUAUGGUGGUAAUGUUUACCAGCCACAAAGUAUGGUGCCUACACCACCUGAGAAAUCCAAUCUGCAGCUCCCUGAGCAGAUGCAGCAACUUCAAUCGGCACUAUAUGCAGCAACUCAGCAACCGUCUGAUUUUGAUGCUGAUAAGAAUGAGCGGUAUCAAUCAACGCUGCAAUUUGCUACAAAUCUUUUGCUCCAAAUACAUCAGCAGCAGCCGGGCACUCAAUCAGGGCAAGGGGGUGGAAGUCACCAAGGAGGUUCUCUUCAUUGAGGGAUGGGCGAAAUUGCCUUCUGGUGGCUAUACAUAACACAUCUCGACUGGUUAGCAUUGUAGGGUUAGAUGGAACAUUUACAUUUCGUUUUGACGUGAUCGAUCAACAUGGUGCUUUCAGCAUAUCUUCGUUUGGUUAAAAUCCUGUUUGCAGUGCCGGCCUAGUUGGAAGACGUGUGCUCGUUCUUCUCCUUUGUUAUGAAUCGAUUUUCCAUCAAUUAGACCAGAAAGAACAACGAUAAGUUUGUUGAAGUGAACUGUAAUGGAUGUGGGCAUUUCGAAUAAGAUGCCAUAUGAACGUUUGGUCCGAGUUGAUUUCGGUUUUUGAUUUUAAGAAGGAAAUGUUACUGAGCUUUUCAAAAUUGAAACUUAAUAUGC